AUCUUAUGGACCCCAACAGAGAAUGGCAUCCCAGGUUGCGACACAGCUAGCAGGAGACCAAACAACAUCACAAUCUACAUACAUAAGCAAGAAAUGUGUUUUACAGCCACAUUUCAAGAAAGGAAAGUAGACAGAAAGAUUCAGUGACCUGGUUCAAGUCUUCCUAAAGAUGUGGGAUCGGUUCCCGUAGCCACAAGACCGCUUCUAUGUUUGAUUUAUCCUCUCAAGCUUAUUCCUGCUCUCCAAAAUCACACAGAAAACUGGAGGACAGCGGGCAUCUGUGUGACAAAUGGAACGCAGCUGUGUGCUUUGUCUUUUAUACAACUCCACUCAUUUUAAGCACGGUACAGACUAAGAAACUGAUGUUAAAGUGAACAGCUGUGCUGAACGUAAACCCUAACUACACAAACUCUGCCUUAGACCCUGCUGCAUGGUGACGGCUCUAGCUAUGGCAGGCGUGAAGAGGUCCCGAGUCCCACAUCUCCACCUGCACCAGGACUUGGGGCUGGCAGAGAGAAGGAGAUGAGUGAGGAUGCACACAAGGUUUACUGAAUUUUAAGAAGGAGAAGAUCCAGUCAAAGUAGCAAAUGCAGCUUUCAACAUCCUCAAAGGCAUCUAAUUGUUCAGGACAUACUGAGUAUCUGCACUUAUAGAAAUCAAGCCUCGAGUGGAACUCCCCUGAAAGCAAGGCACCGGGAAGCCAAGAUUAGUUUUCAGAAAGGCUCACCUUGACUCCAGGCUGCCUUUGUCCUUCACCCGCACUUCACAGCACUGCAAUGUCUCUUUGAACACUGAAAGUAAGUUCAGAGCUGGUGUUACAGCUCUGCUCAGCCCAAAAGGGAGCAAGAAGAAGAAAUGAGAAGCUGGUGACAAGCCUGUGGGAGAAACACACUCUGCGGGUGGGACCAGCAUCCCCAUGGAGCUGCAGUCAAGGCAGUUGUUACUUCUCUCUUGGCUGCCUUUUGUUUUCUGUCUUACAGAUUAUUUUCUUGCAUUGCUUUCUGGAUCCAGAAUGCUGUAUAUAUUACAAAAGUCAGAACUUUUUCUGGGGGAAACCAACACACACUCCGUCAAGAGGAAUGGUCUAGAUGUACAUAGAUUAGCUGAAGACCAAGCCCAAAAAUGUUUUGUGUAGAAUUCCCUUAAUUUGAUUGUAGCCCUCUUCUAGAGUCAACAGAGGGAGGAGUCAAUUCACCCCAUCAUAAAACACGGGUCUGAGGCCCUGAAAGUACCUCUCCUUCCUUUGGCACAUGACUGUUGGUGAUGAGCUGUGUGCUUCCCUUUAAAGGCUGUAGAGCUGCAUAACUAAAAACAUCCUAGAAUACUUACUCGCAGAUCCUACUCCUUGGGCCUGUUAAGUUGCUGUUAUUGAUCUUGGUCUGAGUACUGGAGAGCUCUGGGGUACAGGAGGCUCUUACAGGCUCAGGCUGCCUUACAAGAGUGGCUGGAAAGAUUAUGGGUAAUGCUGUUACAGACCUACCGCCAGUCACGCUACAUCAAUCAGCAGUUAGAUUUAUACUUACGGUGGUGAUAUAUGAUUACUAAGUAGACUUCACAAUAUUAAAAUUGGUGUUUGGGGAAAGGAGGCUGGGGUUGGUUUUUUCCCUCACCUAGUUAUUCCCUUUCUCUCUAAAUCACUCUCUUUUUUUUCUUUUUAAGUUAAGGCACUGAACUUUCAGUCUCAAAAUCAAAUCAGUCUUGUCCUUGGAAAGUUCUUUGUUAAUCCUGUUUGUAUUUUUUAAAUGCUAUGCAAACAUUUUCAUUGUGGAUUAAUGUGCUGUUUCAAAGCAGUUGAGAUUUUAAGAUUGUUGUUAAUUCAGAGAAAGAGACUUCUGUUACUACUCCAGUUCUUUUGGAAACUAAUUUAAUUCAGUGCCCUUUUUUGAGCCUUUGCAGCAGAGUGCUAAACGAAUACUAUCAAAGGCCAUAUUAAAGAGGAUUGUAUAUAGUUGACCAGGGUUCAUACCAGGGACUAGUUUCAGAUAGUGUCUUACAUUGAAAAUAUGAUUCUUCAAUUAUAGCUCCUAUUGCAAAAAUGAAAUUACCUUGAAUGCUUGCUCUAGUAGGCUUAUUUCUUAGAAUACAAUGGUAAAUGGUGAAAUUCUUCCUCACGGUAAGACAUAUCUGAUUAAAAAGUGAAAGAGAGACAGAGAGAGAAAUGUGAAGAGUAAAGUCAGUUGUAAGAGCCCUGAGAUCAGUAAAAGGACAGCUUAUACAAUGACUGCCCAUUUGAGUAGCCCAAAUAAUUCAGACCUCUCUGAAUGCUCCAUGUAGGAGCAUCUAAAGUACCUCACGUUCUGACAGCUGAUUCAGGACACGGCCAUGAGGGCUCAAAUGGCCAAAGCAAAUAUGCAGAAGCUCUUAAACACAUCCACACUAGUCACGAAUAGUAGUCAAAGUGAUUUGCAAAUACAUCUUAGCAAAACUUAACAUCUUUGAGAUCACAAUCCCAAAAAUAAUUGAUACAAUUAGGACACUGAAGCUAUGUUUGGUGUGACUGCAGCAAUUCGCAUUUAUUACAUUUCUAAGUGUUGUCUGCUUUCCUAAGUCAUAACGUACAUCUGAUUUAUUUAGAGAAUAAUAGUGAUUUGCAGCUCUUCCCUGUUUUUUUUUAAUCUUACGAUCUAUGCAGAUGUUUCAGGUGUGACUUCACUGUGCAGAGUAUCUCGUGACUUCUCCGAGGACACAGCGGGCCUUGGACAGCGAGCUCUGCCUGGCUUGGGCCGGCGUUCUUUGAAUUGAGUGCCUACUGCUACUGAACAUGCACACAACCUUAAGGCUACCUGCUGUGGUGUUUCUAAACAGUCUGCUUUUCUAAUUCUGGGAUUACAGUGCUUAAAGGCACAUAAGGAUGAUGAACAAGUAGAAAGGAUCUUAUGUCCUUACAUCCACAGGGAGUUUUUUGUCCCUGUCCUGUUGGCAUUAGUCGUGUAAGCCUCUCAUUCAUCUGCCUUGGGAAGACUGAUCUGCUCAGCCUUUGGUGUUUUCAUCUGUUUUUGAUGUGCUGGCUGAACUAACUCAAUGAUUGCUUAUGUGUACGAGAAUUAAUUAUAAAUGUUGAAUAUAUAAAGCAAUCUUGUGGACUCAUGCUUCAUUAGCAGUCUGAUCAGUUAGCCACUGCAAUGCUGACUUAAUUUGCACUGCAGAUGCUAUAGCUAGAAGGCAGUGGACAUUUGUGAGGAAGACAGGAUGCAGUUUCGCCAACUCCUUGCAUUAAAUUCAUAGCAUUCUCCGCUUACCUGGGUAGCAUAUGAUGAGAGAAGAGAGCACAAGACUAGGCAUUGUGUUGCCCGAUGAAAACUUGUCUUCUGACAAAGAAUCUGUUAGUUUACUUUGCUGGAGAAAGCAAACUAUUCAGGCUGCAGUGGUCCAGCUUGCUGGGCAUGGACAUGCACCUUGAGACUCUCAUUGUCGCGUUUCUUCAGAGCCAUAGUAGUAUGUUCCAAGAGCCAUUGAUGAAAAGCAUAACACAUGAGGGAAGUGGUUAUUUUCUUCUUUUAACCACUGUCUUCCUUACCUUACCUGUAAAAUAAUUAAAAUUAUUCUUGGGAAUAUACCAAGCAUUUUGAGACCCUGAGCCACCACCUGCAGAAAUCGUACUGUUUGCUAGAAAGGAGUAAUUUUUGUUUUCAAAAAGAGUUCUGAAGAAGAUAAAGAAACAUUUCUGUAUCUUUUGCAUCAGUAAAAAGGAUUAGACAGGCUGUAAUCUUGGUCAAUCUGACUUCUACAAUUAUGGAAAAUUACAAAGAUUGAUGUUAGUUGCAAUUUAUAUUAUUGCAUAAACUUGUACAGGAUGAAUCUUCUCUUUUGAAAUACAUAUUUCACUAAAGCUAGAAUAUAUAUGAAGUUAUUUCUUUUUCUUUCUUUUCCCCAUCAGAUUGAUAAUAGACCAUGUAGGAAACUGCUGAAAAACACAAAAAGAAAAAGUUGGAGCAAUUCAAAUUGUCAUGGCAAUAUCCUAGAUUUUUGAAGAAGUUCAGUUCUGUUUAGCUAGUCACUUUAAUUUUCCUUAGUAACUUGUCUCCAUUCUCUACCAUAAUGAUAAUUCUUUAUAUGACUGUCAGCCCUUCGCAUUGUGACAGCUUAAAUUAAUGUUUUGAUAUUUCUCUCUUUGUAAGAAUACAACAAAGAAGACAACUGCCAAGGAUAGGACAGAAACUGUAUGAAUGUUAAACAGACAUUGUGCACCAAUAAAACCAGAAGGAAUUAUUUUCACUUUA
Long non-coding RNA from Columba livia (rock pigeon), 4220 nucleotides. RefSeq lists it as uncharacterized. The record is from RefSeq and is a predicted model, not a curated record. NCBI's taxonomy places the organism in Eukaryota, Metazoa, Chordata, Aves, Columbiformes, Columbidae. The transcript has 4 exons.